RNAcentral lists this ribosomal RNA (638 nucleotides) under uncultured bacterium. Its description in RNAcentral is "bacterial SSU rRNA". It matches the Rfam family "Bacterial small subunit ribosomal RNA", at positions 607 to 1244 of the family's 1533-position model. The record is from RNAcentral.
GCUCAACCGAGGAAGUGCUUCGAAAACUGGUAAACUUGAGUGCAGAAGAGGAAAGUGGAACUCCAUGUGUAGCGGUGGAAUGCGUAGAUAUAUGGAAGAACACCAGUGGCGAAGGCGGCUUUCUGGUCUGUAACUGACGCUGAGAUUCGAAAGCAUGGGUAGCAAACAGGAUUAGAUACCCUGGUAGUCCAUGCCGUAAACGAUGAGUGCUAAGUGUUGGUGGGUUUCCGCCCUUCAGUGCUGCAGCUAACGCAUUAAGCACUCCGCCUGGGGAGUACGACCGCAAGGUUGAAACUCAAAGGAAUUGACGGGGGCCCGCACAAGCGGUGGAGCAUGUGGUUUAAUUCGAAGCAACGCGAAGAACCUUACCAGGUCUUGACAUACCAUGGGGGAGCUUAGAGAUAAGUCUUUCCCUUCGGGGACAUGGAUACAGGUGGUGCAUGGUUGUCGUCAGCUCGUGUCGUGAGAUGUUGGGUUAAGUCCCGCAACGAGCGCAACCCUUAUUAUCAGUUGCCAGCAUUCAGUUGGGCACUCUGGUGAGACUGCCGGUGACAAACCGGAGGAAGGUGGGGACGACGUCAAAUCAUCAUGCCCCUUAUGACCUGGGCUACACACGUGCUACAAUGGUCGGUACAACG